RNAcentral lists this ribosomal RNA (372 nucleotides) under marine Metazoa environmental sample. RNAcentral's name for it is "SSU rRNA". It matches the Rfam family "Eukaryotic small subunit ribosomal RNA", at positions 587 to 972 of the family's 1831-position model. The record is from RNAcentral. Lineage: Eukaryota; Metazoa.
AGCUCCAAUAGCGUAUAUUAAAGUUGUUGCAGUUAAAAAGCUCGUAGUUGGAUUUCGGGAUGGGCCAGUCGGUCUGCCGCAAGGUAAGUUACUGGCUGGUCUGUCCUUCUUCGCAAAGACUGCGCGUGCCCUUAACUGAGUGUGCGUAGGAUUUGCGACGUUUACUUUGAAAAAAUUAGAGUGUUCAAAGCAGGCUAACCGCUUGAAUACAUGAGCAUGGAAUAGGACUUUGGUUCUAUUUUGUUGGUUUCUGGAACCGAAGUAAUGAUUAAGAGGGACAGUUGGGGGCAUUCGUAUUUCGUUGUCAGAGGUGAAAUUCUUGGAUUUACGAAAGACAAACUACUGCGAAAGCAUUUACCAAGGAUGUUUUCA